This 439-nucleotide ribosomal RNA is filed under the name uncultured bacterium. RNAcentral's name for it is "partial 16S ribosomal RNA". It matches the Rfam family "Bacterial small subunit ribosomal RNA", at positions 339 to 795 of the family's 1533-position model. The record is from RNAcentral.
CUACGGGUUGCUGCAGUGAGGAAUAUUGCACAAUGGGGGGAACCCUGAUGCAGCAACGCCGCGUGGAGGAUGACGCAUUUCAGUGUGUAAACUCCUUUUAUAUGUCAAGAAAAUGACGGUAGCAUAUGAAUAAGCACCGGCUAACUCCGUGCCAGCAGCCGCGGUAAUACGGAGGGUGCAAGCGUUACUCGGAAUCACUGGGCGUAAAGGACGCGUAGGCGGGCUUGUAAGUCAGGUGUGAAAUCCUACAGCUUAACUGUAGAACUGCACUUGAAACUACGAGCCUAGAGUAUGGGAGGGGGAGAUGGAAUUAGUGGUGUAGGGGUAAAAUCUGUAGAUAUCACUAGGAAUACCUAAAGCGAAGGCGAUCUCCUGGAACAUAACUGACGCUAAGGCGUGAAAGCGUGGGGAGCAAACAGGAUUAGAUACCCCCGUAGUC